This 470-nucleotide ribosomal RNA is filed under the name uncultured bacterium. RNAcentral's name for it is "bacterial SSU rRNA". It matches the Rfam family "Bacterial small subunit ribosomal RNA", at positions 26 to 518 of the family's 1533-position model. The record is from RNAcentral.
AGGACGAACGCUGGCGGCGUGCUUAACACAUGCAAGUCGAACGGAAGUAGAAAUACUUAGUGGCGGACGGGUGAGUAACGCGUGAGCAACCUGCCCUUAUCAGGGGGAUAACACAGAGAAAUUUGUGCUAAUACCGCAUAACGUUGCGAAUAGGCAUCUAAUUGCAACCAAAGAUUUAUCGGAUAAGGAAGGGCUCGCGUCCCAUUAGGUAGUUGGUGAGGUAACGGCCCACCAAGCCGACGAUGGGUAGCCGAUCUGAGAGGAUGAGCGGCCACAUUGGAACUGAGAGACGGUCCAGACUCCUACGGGAGGCAGCAGUGGGGAAUAUUGGGCAAUGGGCGCAAGCCUGAACCCCCAGCAACGCCGCGUGAAUGAAGAAGGUUUUCGGAUUGUAAAGUUCUGUGAUGGGGGACGAAGAAAGUGACGGUACCCCAAUAGCAAGCUACGGCUAACUACGUGCCAGCAGCAGC